Molecule: unclassified non-coding RNA, 571 nt
Filed under: Hevea brasiliensis (rubber tree)
Lineage: Eukaryota; Viridiplantae; Streptophyta; Magnoliopsida; Malpighiales; Euphorbiaceae
Source: RNAcentral
GCUCGAGGAUAUCGUUCAACUCGAGUGGCUUUCAACGUUCGUGGAGGAUUCCUUCUCUUGUGGGGGUUUGACACUCGGAAAAGAACAUUGUUCUGUCAAAAAGGAGUCCUCUGAUAGCAAAUUCCUGACCUCAAGUCCUGUUUCUGUACUUGAGAGCAGCAGCAGCAGCAGCAGCUCAUCCACGUCAAGCUCGGGACCGGGGAAAACACUUCCUCCUCUUAGUCCAUGCCCCCGUGGUCCACAACGUGCUCGGACUAAACGUCCUCGUCCUACAACUUUUAAUCCCCGGUCAGUAAAUCACCUCAUGUUUCCAACAUCAGUAAGUCCCCAGCAAUUUGUUGCUCCUGGAGUUAACUCAUUGGACUCUGAGAAUUUCGCCGAGUCUCCCAUGAAGAAGAAAAAGAAAAUCAAGUUAUCGAUCCCUCUAGCUCCAAUCGAGACUAAUCAGGAUAACUACCAGCCCGUGCCACAAGCAGUUAGGAAAUGCUUGCAUUGCGAGAUAACAAAGACGCCUCAAUGGAGAGCCGGUCCAAUGGGACCAAAAACCCUCUGCAACGCCUGUGGUGUUCGU